UACGUAGGUGGCGAGCGUUGUCCGGGUUUACUGGGCGUAAAGGGAGCGUAGGCGGACUUUUAAGUGAGAUGUGAAAUACCCGGGCUCAACUUGGGUGCUGCAUUUCAAACUGGAAGUCUAGAGUGCAGGAGAGGAGAAUGGAAUUCCUAGUGUAGCGGUGAAAUGCGUAGAGAUUAGGAAGAACACCAGUGGCGAAGGCGAUUCUCUGGACUGUAACUGACGCUGAGGCUCGAAAGCGUGGGGAGCAAACAGGAUUAGAUACCCCGGUA
RNAcentral lists this ribosomal RNA (269 nucleotides) under uncultured prokaryote. RNAcentral's name for it is "partial 16S ribosomal RNA". It matches the Rfam family "Bacterial small subunit ribosomal RNA", at positions 524 to 792 of the family's 1533-position model. The record is from RNAcentral.